This 460-nucleotide ribosomal RNA is filed under the name uncultured bacterium. RNAcentral describes it as "partial 16S ribosomal RNA". It matches the Rfam family "Bacterial small subunit ribosomal RNA", at positions 338 to 795 of the family's 1533-position model. The record is from RNAcentral.
CCUACGGGAGGCAGCAGUGAGGAAUAUUGGUCAAUGGACGAGAGUCUGAACCAGCCAAGUAGCGUGAAGGAUGACUGCCCUAUGGGUUGUAAACUUCUUUUAUAAAGGAAUAAAACGAGGCACGUGUGCCUUUUUGCGUGUACUUUAUGAAUAAGGAUCGGCUAACUCCGUGCCAGCAGCCGCGGUAAUACGGAGGAUCCGAGCGUUAUCCGGAUUUAUUGGGUUUAAAGGGAGCGUAGAUGGGUUGUUAAGUCAGUUGUGAAAGUUUGCGGCUCAACCGUAAAAUUGCAAUUGAUACUGGCAGUCGUGAGUACAGUUGAGGUAGGCGGAAUUCGUGGUGUAGCGGUGAAAUGCUUAGAUAUCACGAAGAACCCCGAUUGCGAAGGCAGCUUACUAAACUGUGACUGACAUUGAUGCUCGAAAGUGUGGGUAUCAAACAGGAUUAGAUACCCUUGUAGUC